RNAcentral lists this ribosomal RNA (274 nucleotides) under uncultured prokaryote. Its description in RNAcentral is "partial 16S ribosomal RNA". It matches the Rfam family "Bacterial small subunit ribosomal RNA", at positions 524 to 798 of the family's 1533-position model. The record is from RNAcentral.
UACGUAGGGGCGAGCGUUGUCCGGAAUUACUGGGCGUAAAGGGCGCGCAGGCGGUUAUGUUAGUCUGCUGUGAAAAGCAUCGGCUUAACCGGUGUCUUGCGGCGGAUACUGCAUAGCUUGAGUACUGGAGAGGGAAGUGGAAUUCCCGGUGUAGCGGUGAAAUGCGUAGAUAUCGGGAAGAACACCGGUGGCGAAGGCGACUUGCUGGGCAGCAACUGACGCUGAGGCGCGAAAGCCAGGGGAGCAAACGGGAUUAGAUACCCGGGUAGUCCCU